GGCCUACCAUGGUGGUAACGGGUAACGGGGUGUUAGGGCACGACACCGGAGAGGGAGCCUGAGAAACGGCUACCACAUCCAAGGAUGGCAGCAGGCGCGCAAAUUACCCAAUCCCGACACGGGGAGGUAGUGACAAUAAAUAACAAUACGGGGUUCUUUCGGAUCUCGUAAUUGGAAUGAGUACAAUUUAAAUCCCUUAACGAGGAACAAUUGGAGGGCAAGUCUGGUGCCAGCAGCCGCGGUAAUUCCAGCUCCAAUAGCGUAUAUUAAAGUUGUUGCAGUUAAAAAGCUCGUAGUUGAAUUUCGGGAUUGACACAUCGGUCGUGCCUUAAGGGGUAUGAACUGGUGUAGUCAAUUUCUCACCUUCUGGAGAACCGCGAUGCCCUUAAUUGGGGGGCGCGGGGAACCAGGACCUUUACUUUGAAAAAAUUAGAGUGUUUAAAGCAGGCAUUUUGCUUGAAUACAUUAGCAUGGAAUAAUAAAAUAGGACGGCAUGAUUCUAUUUUGUUGGUUUCUAGGAUCACCGUAAUGAUUAAUAGGGAUAGUUGGGGGCAUUAGUAUUCAAUUGUCAGAGGUGAAAUUCUUGGAUUUAUUGAAGACUAACUACUGCGAAAGCAUUUGCCAAGGAUGUUUUCAUUAAUCAAGAACGAAGUUAGGGGAUCGAAGACGAUCAGAUACCGUCGUAGUCUUAACCAUAAACUAUGCCGACUAGGAAUCAGACGAUGUACUUUUUAUGACUCGUUUGGCACCUUACG
Molecule: ribosomal RNA, 755 nt
Filed under: uncultured Glomeromycotina
Lineage: Eukaryota; Fungi; Glomeromycota
Description: SSU rRNA
Rfam family: Eukaryotic small subunit ribosomal RNA
Source: RNAcentral